GCUUCUUGUGUUUUCUUGUUGGAGUGUUAUCAGGGAUGAGGGAAAAGUUUCACGCAAGCUUACUGAGUGCAUUAAGACAUAUCAGUUGAAGGAUGGUCCAAAUCUGGGAUGCCAGUCCAUGGAGAUCCAUUCUGCUAUACCGGAAUUUUUUUGCGUUCAUGGCUUACAGCCCAAGAUUGGGGUUUGAAGGUUUCUUGGGCAGUCUAGAAUCAAUCCUGUGUAUAUUAAUCUUAUAUUAUGGAUAAUGGUUUAGUAUUUGGUUGAUCCUUUGAAGGAUGCGCUUAUUCUAUAUCCAAGGUUACAACUAAAGCUAGAAAGCACUGCUGCCAAUGGGAGCCGUUUGGUAGAACAACUUCUAGAUGCUGUGUGAGUGAUGCUGCUAAAGAUGAUAAGUUUGGGAACUUGGCAAGCUUGCAAUUUUGUUUGAUGGAGCUUGCAGCCUCUGUUUUCUACUGGGUGUAAAUAUUUUGCAAGUUGUUAUCCAUCAGUCAGAACCUGAAUAUUUUCUGAAUUUUUUUUGGGAAAAGAUUCUCUUUAUUUCCUUGGUGUGAAAAUGCAGAAUCUUUGAUGAUAAGCUGGCCUGAAAGGGUUCAGUUAUUAAGACCUGCCUCAUGCCUUCCUCUCUGGGUAUUCUACUUGCAACGUUUUUAAAGAAUUGUUGUGGGGUUUGUAUUUUUAGACAUUAGGGUUCUCUUAGUUUUACCAACCGUAUGAUUUCUUUCUGAAAUUUUGGAAAUGUGCAGUUGUUAUCCAUCAAUUAGAUGCUGCAUAGUUUCUGAAUUUUUUUGGAAAGGAUUCCCUUUUAUCUUCUUGGUGUGAAAAUGCAGAAUCUUUGAAGAUAAGUUGGCUGAAAGGGUUCAAAAACUUUCCUCAUGUCUUCCUCUCUGGGUAUUCUACUUGCAAUGUUUCUAAAAUUGUUGUUGGGUUUGUAUUUUUAGACUUGAGGGGGUUCUAUUGUAUUUUAUGAUCAUUAAUAGGCCAGUUGGAGGGUUCAAAAUGACAUGCAUAGUCUGGGCCUUGGCCCAAGUAUGGCCUCUAGAGCCUAUUGGAGGGCAAGGAAUCAUGUAGCUGACGAUCUGCCACAUGGCGGAUAUUGGGUGAUUUGGUUCGACCAUAUGACGACCUCACAAUCGGAUCUAAUUACUACUUAUUUUAUGGUGUACUCUAUUUCGAAACAAUAUUUUGCAUGUGUCGUAAGCAUUUCCAUGUGGUUCAUAAGUGUUCUUAUGCUAUCUUGCUUCUCUUAUGUUUCGUCCGAUGCAUUUCCAAAGACGUCUCUUAAAACACCCUCCUGACACGCUGACCGAUACUGAUAUCGAACACCUUGCUCUAUGGGAAUUCUUUACUAUUUUUUUGGUGGGGCCCAAAGCUUUAAAUCUUGAUUUUAAAGAUCAAUACUAGAUUGGUUGAUUGUGAAACCUGUGUCAAUAUUUUGGACUGGACCAACCUUAUGUAUCAUACCUGGUAGAUCUGCUGGACUAGUAGUUUUACUGUGCUUUUCUCUCUCUGGAUUGCUACUGAUCCUCAACUCUUUGCUUCAUGUUGACAUGAUGUAUUUUUGGACGAACUAUGUAGGUAGAGGAUUUAAUAAGCAAAAUGCUAAGUUCUAUAUUUGUAUACAUAGAAACCCAAGCUGUUCUGUGAGUGCUUUCAAAUGGUUUGUGAUCUCUGGCAUGUGUUAAUAUGACCAAACAGCCAUCUUCAGAAAAGAGAGCUAGAAGAGAAGAUGCUGCUGCCUGCCUGAAGGAGGGCUUAUGAAAGGGAAGUGGUUAUUGUGAGUUUUUUAAUCUAAUUUAUGUUAUGCUCUAGUUAACAGAUUCUGUCAUGUGAUCUUGGCUGUUACAUGUAAAAGGAUAAAUCAAAUCUUUGAUAUGCAUUAUUAUGUGCUUGGAUGCGGUUUCAUGGUGGGCAAUCUUGAUAUCUAUUAUGGUGCAUCCUGACUAACAAAAAUAUGCAAGAAGACAUAGGGGGAGGGUUAAAAAAGGCCCCGCAACCAAGGCACUCCUGGGUUGCAAGUUGCAUCACCAAUUCUUAUCGGCACCCAGUUCCAAUGCUUUAUAUGAUCCCUUGAUCUUUUCUUAAUAAUUUUCAGAUUACCAUGAGGCAGCAAUUGCUUGAUGACCAAGGUGCUCCUAGGUUGCAAGUUGCAUCAUCAAUUCUUGUCGGCACCUAGUUCCUAUGCUCCUGAUGAUCCCUUGAUCUUUUCUUAAAAAUUUUAAGAUUACCAUGAGGCAGCAAAUGCUUGAUGCGUUUUUUGUUUUUUGUUUUCUUUCUCCUAUUUGAUCCUAUCAGUUCCUCUUUUGUU
Macadamia integrifolia is the source of this 2305-nucleotide long non-coding RNA. RefSeq lists it as uncharacterized. The record is from RefSeq and is a predicted model, not a curated record. Lineage: Eukaryota; Viridiplantae; Streptophyta; Magnoliopsida; Proteales; Proteaceae. The transcript is spliced from 3 exons.